This 87-nucleotide non-coding RNA is filed under the name uncultured Paenibacillus sp. RNAcentral describes it as "Purine riboswitch". It matches the Rfam family "Purine riboswitch aptamer", at positions 7 to 94 of the family's 102-position model. Rfam says of the family: Riboswitches are metabolite binding domains within certain messenger RNAs that serve as precision sensors for their corresponding targets. Allosteric rearrangement of mRNA structure is mediated by ligand binding, and this results in modulation of gene expression. A class of riboswitches that selectively recognises guanine and becomes saturated at concentrations as low as 5 nM. Lineage: Bacteria; Bacillati; Bacillota; Bacilli; Caryophanales; Paenibacillaceae. The record is from RNAcentral.
UUUCAUAGAUUUUCUCGUAUAAGUGCAGGGAUCGGCCUGCAUGUCUCUACCUGAUCACCGGAAAUGAUCGGACUACGGGAGAAGGCU